CCUACGGGUGGCAGCAGUGGGGGAUAUUGCACAAUGGGGGGAACCCUGAUGCAGCGACGCCGCGUGGGUGAAGAAGCGCCUCGGCGCGUAAAGCCCUGUCAGCAGGGAAGAAAAUGACGGUACCUGAAGAAGAAGCCCCGGCUAACUACGUGCCAGCAGCCGCGGUAAUACGUAGGGGGCAAGCGUUAUCCGGAUUUACUGGGUGUAAAGGGGGCGCAGACGGCGAUGCAAGCCAGGAGUGAAAGCCCGGGGCCCAACCCCGGGACUGCUCUUGGAACUGCGUGGCUGGAGUGCAGGAGGGGCAGGCGGAAUUCCUGGUGUAGCGGUGAAAUGCGUAGAUAUUGCGCAGAACUCCGAUUGCGAAGGCAGCAUACCGGCGGCGAUCUGACGCUGAGGCACGAAAGCGUGGGUAUCGAACAGGAUUAGAUACCCGAGUAGUC
Molecule: ribosomal RNA, 440 nt
Filed under: uncultured bacterium
Lineage: Bacteria
Description: partial 16S ribosomal RNA
Rfam family: Bacterial small subunit ribosomal RNA
Source: RNAcentral